UGCGUAGGCGGUGCGGUAAGUUGGGUGUGAAAUCCCUCGGCUCAACCGAGGAACUGCGCUCAAUACUGCCGUACUUGAGGGAGACAGAGGUAAGCGGAACUGAUGGUGGAGCGGUGAAAUGCGUUGAUAUCAUCAGGAACACCAGUAGCGAAGGCGGCUUACUGGGUCUCUUCUGACGCUGAGGCACGAAAGCUAGGGUAGCGAACG
This 207-nucleotide ribosomal RNA is filed under the name uncultured bacterium. RNAcentral describes it as "partial 16S ribosomal RNA". It matches the Rfam family "Bacterial small subunit ribosomal RNA", at positions 568 to 774 of the family's 1533-position model. The record is from RNAcentral.